GACAGAGGGGGCAAGCGUUGCUCGGAAUUACUGGGCGUAAAGGGCGCGUAGGCGGGAUGGUAAGUCGGUCGUGAAAUCCCUCGGCUCAACCGAGGAACGUCGAUCGAUACUACUGUUCUUGAGGGUUGCAGAGGAGACUGGAAUUCCCGGUGUAGCGGUGAAAUGUGUAGAGAUCGGGAGGAACACCGGUGGCGAAGGCGGGUCUCUGGGCAAUUCCUGACGCUGAGGCGCGAAAGCGUGGGGAGCAAACGGGAUUAGAUACCCCGGUAGUCCACGCUGUAAACGAUGAGCACUAGGUGUGGGGGGGUUCAGUCCCUUCCGUGCCGCAGCUAACGCAUUAAGUGCUCCGCCUGGGGAGUACGGCCGCAAGGUUGAA
Molecule: ribosomal RNA, 376 nt
Filed under: uncultured bacterium
Lineage: Bacteria
Description: bacterial SSU rRNA
Rfam family: Bacterial small subunit ribosomal RNA
Source: RNAcentral